RNAcentral lists this long non-coding RNA (4399 nucleotides) under Sus scrofa (pig). RNAcentral describes it as "lncRNA (ENSSSCG00035077963.1)". The record is from RNAcentral. Lineage: Eukaryota; Metazoa; Chordata; Mammalia; Artiodactyla; Suidae.
UUUUUGUCUUUUUGUCUUUUUAGGGCUGCGCUGGCAGCAUACAGAGGUUCCCAGGCUAGGGGUACAAUCAGAGCUGUAGCCGCCAGCCUGUGCCACAGCCACAGCAAUGCGGGAUUCGAGCCUCACCUGCAACCUACACCACAGCUCUCCGCAAUGCCGUAUCCUUAACCCACUGAGUGAGGCCAGGGAUCGAACCUGCGUCCUCAUGGACGCUAGUCGGGUUUGCUAACUGCUGAACCACGAUGGGAACUCUGUCUCCUAUGGUGUAAGGCUCUGACCUCUGGGCAUCAAUCUCCUAGUGUCUAGAUUUAACUUCUUCUCGGGGUACCUGCUUGGGGAAUGUCAGUCCCAGCUCCCCAAACCCAGGGUAAGAAAUGUGCUUCUCUGCAUUCCUUUUACAUCCGAAGUGAUGAGUUAAUCUCUGCUGAUGUGUAAUAAUUCCAUCAGUGAGUUAAUAUAUUGUCAAAUCACGACACACAUGGGAAACAAAAGGAUUUUUCACACCCAGGUGCAUCACAAGGAAUGGCUGCACCAUUGAGGAUUUUGGCAGGUCAGCUGAGAAGGAGCUGUUUGAGGAGUUGGAGUCAUUUUUUUUGUGUUUCUUUCUCUCUCUCUCGUGCUCACCUGCUUUCUCCCCUCCUCACCCCCAAACUAGAGGCUCCUUCAGGAAGGAUCCGGUCCUGGCCAGAGAGAAGGAGGAUCUCUCACACCAGCCUGUUCUCAUGUUGUCAGUGGUUCUAAUAUCACGAAGGAGAGGGAAGACGUGAAAGCAUGAAACAAAAACAUUGAGAUUGGAGUUCCCACUGUAGCUCAAUGGGUAACAAACCCAGCUAGUAUCUAUGAGGGUGUGGGUUCAAUCCUGGCUUCAUUCAGUGGGGUAAGGAUCCGGCAUUGCUGUGAGCUGUGGUGUAGGUCGCAGACACAGCUCGGAUCCUGUGUGGCUGUGGCUGUGGCUGUGACAUAGGACGGCAGCUGCAGCUCCAAUUUGACCCCUAGCCUGGGAACCUCCAUACACCGUGGGUAUGGCUCUAAAAAGCAAACAAAAACAAAAAUAAAAACAAAGCAACAUUGAGAUAUAGUUGAUUUACAAUACGACAUUAGUUUCAGGUGUACAGCAUAGUGAUUCAAUAGUUUUAUAGAUGAUGCUCUAUGUAAAGUUAUUAUAAAAUAAUGGCUACAUUUUCCUGCACUGUACAAAAAUAGCCUCGUUUCUUCUUUAUUUGAUAUGUAGUAGUUUGUACCUCUUAAUCCUCUACCCCUAUCUUACCCCUUCCCUGUUUGCUCUCCCCACUAGGAACCACUAAUUUGUUCUCUAUAUCUGAGUCUGUUUCUUUUUUGUUAUAUUCGCUGGUUUGUUUUAUUAUUUUUUUUGGAUUCCACAGAUAAGUGAUACCAUGCUAUAUUUAUCUUUCUCUGAGUAUACUCUAAUGCUAUACUCAGUGAAAGAGUUCUCCAUGUGCUUUGGGUAAGUGCAAUCAUCGAAAGCAGAAUAAUCAUCUCAAGUCCAAUUAUCUUUUGUCGUCCACAGAACCUUCCUACUGAUUUCUCUCCUAACCUCACCAAAGGGUCAAGCUAACACCCCAGGCAACUCUCCGAACUUGGGAGGUCCUACGUGCCAGAAGUGGCAGAGCUCCCAGGGGAAAUAUGCUGAUCCCUGCUUUUCUUACCUCUGGGGAGUGUGAAGGAAGCCCCCCACUCCAUGGUGCUGAUGGAGGAAGGCAUGAAGGGCGGAGGGAAUGGCAGGCUCCUCUGCCUAAGCUGUUCUGUGCUAUUAGUGUUUCUCCCGCAUCCACUGUCAAGGUCUAUAUAUGCCAUGCUGGGGGUGUGUGUGUGUGUAUGCCAAGGGCAAAGCAGAAUCUUGGUCUUGUUGGGGCCUCCAGAUCCAUGCUGUUGGAUCACAUUUAUCCUGAAGACAAGAACUUUGGUUCCUCUUGGGCAUGGUGGCCUGGGAUGUCACCUGGCUGGAUUCCAUGGGAAGCUGAGGGAGGGCCCUCGGUGAAUCAUCACCCACAGUUGGGCUGACUCUAAGUAGGUCAUUUCUGGUUCUUUGGACGAAAGGAAUCCAACUGCCAGAGUGUUCCACCCUUCCAAAUUGAAAUUGAUGACACGGUCAGCCUGGCUUGGGCUCAGGUGCAACUUCUUUGGCCGUGAGCUAAGUGAAAAGCCUAGAGCUUUUGAACCAGAAAGAUGUUGAUUUUCAGUUAAGGAGACUGAAGCCUGGAGUGAUGGGGUGAUGGCUAAUCAAGGCUUGAGCCAGAGGUAGAAAGUCAAGUGCGCCGUCUCCCAAUCCUGGCCUUUCUCUGCAAGACGAUGGAAUCCCCAAGGGCCUCUCUGCCUCCUCUAAGUAAGAUUAACCCUCACCAGCAAUGUGGUGUCUUGAGACCUGGGGUGAGGGAGGUGAACUGUAUUUCAAGUAGAAAGCUACUCAUUUUCUUCAUCUUGGAUGUAGACAAGUUCAACAAUCAUAUCAUGAGCUACUGAUAGGAGAACAGUAUUAUAGGUCAAAACCCUUCUAGAAAAAAAAGAGAAUUCACUCCUUUAUAAAACAAGCACAAAGGCAGAUGCAGCAAAAGAAAAUCAGUCGGUAAAAGGGGGUGAUAAGUAGCCCCUAAUUAUCAUUACCAAGAAGCCAGUAUUAAUGAGGUUACACUACAAAUGGGAAUGUGAGACUCUGUGAAUGAGUGGCCUCUCUCUCUCUUUUUAUAACAACAACAAAAAAUCUCCAAGUAAGGCAGUUUGAGAAACCAAAAACCUAAUAAAGAGGUCAAUCAGAAGGUAGAAAAAUACACCAACUCGGAGGAUGAGUCCUCUUUUGGUGGCAUUUUGCUCAUCCUGGGACAACCCUUGCAUCCUUUUCAGAUGAAGUCAGAAAGGAGGUGUAAUUUGGCAUUUCCCAGCAUCUCUCCAGGGGCUUUUUAAGGGGAGGGGAUGGGUGGAGCCAGUCUUGAUUGUCUCUGCAGAGAUUUCAAUGCAAGGAAAUGGCACUGACCCCAAAUCAGCAGAUUGAAGUGAGGAUGGAUGCUCAUGAAGCUAAAUGGUUAUAGGAUUAGAGAUCUGAAAAAACUUUAGAAAAGACUGACUCUGAUUGCCUUGUUUUACAGAUAGGAACUCUGAGCAUGAGAGAGAGAGAGAGAAAGGGAGAGAGAGACAGAGACAGAGACAAUGAGAGAGAGACAGAGACAGAGACAAUGAGAGAGAGACAGAGACAGAGAGAAAGAGCCAGAGACAGAGAGACAGAGGACAGAGACAAAGAGAUAGAGAGACAGACAGAGAGACAGAGAGCCAGAGAGAGACUGGCCUUUCAUCUGCAUUGUGCAUUGAGCCGUCACAUCUACUACGAAAACACACUCUACCCAGAGGUACUCACUCCCUAAGAGAGGAUGGCAGGAAAGACACUAUAUUGGGAUGAUUAUUAGUUAUGAAAGGCUCAAGGAUGCUAACACAGAAACUCUGGGAUUAUUUGGGACUUCCUGGAAGAAGCUGUGCCCUCUCCCUUGAAGAAGUCUGCCCAUCCUGAAAGAAGUCAGGCUGCCUGUGGAUGACCCAGGGUGGCGACCCACACAACAUCCCGAGGAAGUGACUUGGUCAGGAGGCUCACGGAGAAAUCAGCGCUAACCAUGUCUAAGGCAGAUUCUUGGGUAGAGCACUUCAUAUGUGACAAUCCUUGGGAGAGUGAUUUAAAUCCUGGGAAUUCGGUUGCCCCCGCUAGAAAUUGAGGAGACUAGCACCUACCUCAUAGGGUUGUUACAAAGAUUAAAUGAUUGAAUGUGGGCAAAAUACUUAGACUAGUACUUGGCAAAUCAUAAUUGGCCAUUACGAUGUUGGCUGUUUUUCUUAGAGGACCUGUGAAUUCUUGCACACACACACACCCAAGCAAGCACACAGCCAUGGCUGCCGCGUGAAUUUGGAUGAGACUCUUUGAUGACAUCUAAAUAAGUGUUAAGCAUGGGAUCCAGUCUGUUUCACAUCAGAGCUCAACCAGCAAAAUCUGCUGAACGAUCUUUUCAUGCAAUGUCACCAGAGUUGUGAUAUGCAGUUCCCUGCCCCGGAAAGAGUAUACAUCAUAGAGGAUACAUACAUACGUACAUUGGAGGCACCCUGUCAGGUCAGAAUUCUGAGUCACUUUUUGCCUGCUCUGUGAAGACAUCCUCAUCAUUUCAACCGGAAGCUCUGAUACUCCCCACCUAAUUUCCUAUAAUAUUUAUCAUCUGUGCCAUCACUUUAUAGUGUUUAUUGUGUAAUAGUGUUUAUUUACUUUUAGCCUUUUUACUUUUAGCAUAUAUUUUCUUUGCCAGAUGAGACUUGAAACUCUGGGGACAAGAUCACUCACUUUUGUAUGUCCAAAGAGCAGAGUGAGCUGCUCUGCCAUAGAAUAUAUUCAAUAAAAUCCUUGAUUAUG